This 771-nucleotide ribosomal RNA is filed under the name Triticum aestivum (bread wheat). Its description in RNAcentral is "partial small subunit ribosomal RNA". The record is from RNAcentral. Lineage: Eukaryota; Viridiplantae; Streptophyta; Magnoliopsida; Poales; Poaceae.
AUGGCGACGCAGGUGGUGAGGCUGGCGGCGCUCCCCGUGGAGGUGGAGGGGAAGAAGGACGAGAAGGUGGUCAGGUGGCUCAAGCACUACUCCUCCGCGCAGCGCAUUCUCAUCGUCGGCGACGGCGACUUCUCCUUCUCCCGUGCGCUCGUCACCGCCUUCGGCUCCGGCGCCAACCUCGUCGCCACGUCCCUAGACUCAUACGGGGCGUUGAUCUGCAAGCAUCACCAAGCCGAAUCAAACGUAAGAGAGCUGAAGAGAAUGGGGGCCACAGUUUUGCAUGACGUUGACGUGAAGGAUAUGAAGCUUCAUACUUGUCUGAAGAUGAAACGGUUCGAUCGGAUUGUAUUCAAUUUCCCCCAUGCAGGUUUCAUUGGACAGGAGACCCAGCUGCAUGUGAUCAACUCGCACAAGGAGCUGGUGAGGGUCUUUUUCCGGAGUGCAAGCAACUUGCUUUGCCCUGACGGUGAAGUCCACGUCAGCCACAAGACAGGGCAGCCUUAUGACAGAUGGGAUAUAUCGAGCUUGGCCUCUGAAUAUUCACUUGUUAUGUUUGAGAAAGUUGGUUUUGCCAAAGGAGACUACCCUGGUUACAACCAGAAGAAAGGAGAUGGUCGCAAGUGCAAUCGAUCUUUCCCUCUACGUAAUGGCUGCACUUUCAAGUUCCGCAUGGAGCGUAAAGAAUCGGAAGAUGAAAGUGCGAUGUAUUGUCUUGUUGCUGCAAUGGCAAAGAUGAGCAUGGCUCGCGCUCACGAUGAUGUGACUAUGUAA